Molecule: ribosomal RNA, 463 nt
Filed under: uncultured bacterium
Lineage: Bacteria
Description: partial 16S ribosomal RNA
Rfam family: Bacterial small subunit ribosomal RNA
Source: RNAcentral
GACGAACGCUGGCGGCGUGCUUAACACAUGCAAGUCGAGCGGAAAGGCCACUUCGGUGGUACUCGAGCGGCGAACGGGUGAGUAACACGUGAGUAAUCUGCCCCUCACUUUGGGAUAGCCACCGGAAACGGUGAUUAAUACCGGAUAUGACCAUAUGUCGCAUGGCGUGUGGUGGAAGGUUUUUCGGUGAGGGAUGUGCUCGCGGCCUAUCAGCUUGAUGGUGAGGUAAUGGCUCACCAUGGCUUCGACGGGUAGCCGGCCUGAGAGGGUGACCGGUCACACUGGGACUGAGACACGGCCCAGACUCCUACGGGAGGCAGCAGUGGGGAAUAUUGGACAAUGGGCGGAAGCCUGAUCCAGCAACGCCGCGUGAGGGAUGACGGCCUUCGGGUUGUAAACCUCUUUCAGUACCGACGAAGCGCAAGUGACGGUAGGUACAGAAGAAGCACCGGCCAACUACGUG